Molecule: ribosomal RNA, 253 nt
Filed under: uncultured bacterium
Lineage: Bacteria
Description: partial 16S ribosomal RNA
Rfam family: Bacterial small subunit ribosomal RNA
Source: RNAcentral
GACGAAGGGGGCUAGCGUUGUUCGGAAUUACUGGGCGUAAAGCGAGUGUAGGCGGUUGCCCAAGUCAGGUGUGAAAGCCUUGAGCUCAACUCAAGAAAUGCACUUGGUACUGGGUGGCUAGAGGACCGGAGAGGAUAGUUGAAUUCCCAGUGUAGUGGUGAAAUACGUAGAGAUUGGGAAGAACACCAGUGGCGAAGGCGGCUAUCUGGACGGUUACUGACGCUAAGACUCGAAAGCGUGGGGAGCAAACAGG